GAUGAAGAACGUAGCGAAAUGCGAUAUGUAAUGUGAAUUGCAGAAUUCAGUGAAUCAUCGAAUCUUUGAACGCACCUUGCGCUCCUUGGUAUUCCGAGGAGCAUGCCUGUUUGAGUGCCAUGAAAUUCUCAACCUUUUCAGCUUUCUUUGUUGAUCAGGCUUGGAUGUGGGAGUAUGCGGGCUUCUCAGAAGUCGGCUCUCCUGAAAUGCAUUAGCGGGACCUUUGUUGCCUGGCUUUGGUGUGAUAAUUAUCUACGCCAUUGUGGUCAAGCAGCUUAAAAUGAGGUUUCAGCUUCUAACCGUCUCCCCUGAGACAACUUUUUGACAAUUUGACCUCAAAUCAGGUAGGACUACCCGCUGAACUUAAGCAUAUCAAUAAGCGGAGGA
This 387-nucleotide unclassified non-coding RNA is filed under the name soil metagenome. RNAcentral describes it as "partial contains 5.8S ribosomal RNA, internal transcribed spacer 2, and large subunit ribosomal RNA". The stretch from base 1 to 120 matches the Rfam family "5.8S ribosomal RNA", at positions 35 to 154 of the family's 154-position model. The record is from RNAcentral.